Molecule: ribosomal RNA, 450 nt
Filed under: uncultured bacterium
Lineage: Bacteria
Description: partial 16S ribosomal RNA
Rfam family: Bacterial small subunit ribosomal RNA
Source: RNAcentral
GUGGGGAAUAUUGGACAAUGGGCGAAAGCCUGAUCCAGCCAUGCCGCGUGUGUGAAGAAGGUCUUCGGAUUGUAAAGCACUUUAAGUUGGGAGGAAGGGCAGUAAGUUAAUACCUUGCUGUUUUGACGUUGCCGACAGAAUAAGCACCGGCUAACUUCGUGCCAGCAGCCGCGGUAAUACGAAGGGUGCAAGCGUUAAUCGGAAUUACUGGGCGUAAAGCGCGCGUAGGUGGUUUUGUAAGUUGGAGGUGAAAUCCCCGGGCUCAACCUGGGAACUGCCUCGAAAACUGCAUGACUAGAGUACGGUAGAGGGUAGUGGAAUUUCCUGUGUAGCGGUGAAAUGCGUAGAUAUAGGAAGGAACACCAGUGGCGAAGGCGACUACCUGGACUGAUACUGACACUGAGAUGCGAAAGCGUGGGGAGCAAACAGGAUUAGAAACCCCGGUAGUCC